Molecule: unclassified non-coding RNA, 211 nt
Filed under: Geastrum fimbriatum
Lineage: Eukaryota; Fungi; Basidiomycota; Agaricomycetes; Geastrales; Geastraceae
Description: partial internal transcribed spacer 2
Source: RNAcentral
AUACUCUCAACUUCAACCCUUUUUUCGGAAAGGGAGGAAGGUUGGACUUGGGUGUUUGUCGAAGUGCGAGCUUCGACUCAUCCUAAAUGCAUUAGCGAUCUGCCUCGAUCACACACAAUGUGAUAAUUAAAACUAAAGCAUUGUUUAAUGAUCAAGUCGAGACUGCUUCUAACCGUCACAAGACAACAAUGUGCAUACAUUUGUGCAUGUC